RNA transcript from Panicum virgatum (switchgrass), 2125 nucleotides. It is a transcript of the gene named O-fucosyltransferase 38-like, with no coding region annotated. The transcript is spliced from 12 exons. The record is from RefSeq and is a predicted model, not a curated record. Lineage: Eukaryota; Viridiplantae; Streptophyta; Magnoliopsida; Poales; Poaceae.
CGUUGGCCCAUUAAAAAGCCUUGCGUCGUUCUCGCUUGCUCGCGGCCAUGGCGAAUCCCCGCGGGGCGCCGCCGCUCCUCCUCCACCCCCGCCACCGGCGUCUCCUGCGCUCGCCGAUCUCGCGCUGCGCCUCGCUGCUCUUCGCCUUCGCCGUGCUCCUCCUCCUUUCCGCCCUGCGCCAGCUCGCGCGGGUCGACUUCCCCCGUCCGGACGCACCCCGCCAGGGGUCAAGUGAGCACCUGUGGGCGUCUAACGGCUACGGUUAUAAUGCUUGUGUUACACCAACCUCUAGAUAUAAGGUUCCAGGCGAGUCAGAUCGCUAUAUGACUGUCAGAAGUAAUGGAGGACUCAACCAAAUGCGCACUGGAAUCUGUGAUAUGGUUGCAGUUGCUCGUUUGGUUAAUGCAACACUUGUUAUCCCUCAGUUAGACAAGCGAUCCUUCUGGCAAGACACCAGUACAUUUAAAGACAUCUUUGAUCAGCCUCAUUUUAUUAAAGCUCUGGAAGGAGAUGUACACAUUGUGGGUGACUUGCCUGAAAGCUUGCAAUCUGCUCCAAGAGCCCGGAAACACUUCACCUCAUGGUCUGGUGCGAGUUAUUAUGAGGAAGUGAAAGAGCUCUGGAAGAAUCAGAAGGUAGUUCACAUCCCAAAAUCCGACUCACGACUUGCUAACAACGGUCUUCCAAUUGAUAUCCAGAGAUUGAGAUGCCGCUGUCUUUACCAAGCACUCCGUUUUUCAGAUCCAAUCGAGGACCUAGGAAAGAAGCUGGUGGAUCUUCUAAGGUAUCGUGGAAAAUUCAUCGCUCUUCAUCUACGAUAUGAAAAGGAUAUGCUAGCAUUUACGGGAUGCACUUAUGGUCUAAGUGAUUUGGAAGCAAAUGAGUUGACAAUUAUGAGAGAGAGAACAAGCCACUGGAAAUUGAAGGACAUAAACUCAACUGAACAGAGAUCUGAAGGCAACUGUCCACUGACUCCAAAUGAGGUGGGCAUUUUUCUUCGCGCUAUGGGCUAUCCUGAAUCCACAUGGAUCUAUCUUGCAGCAGGUGAAAUUUAUGGUGGUGAUAAGUAUAUAUCAAAAUUGAGGUCAUACUUCCCAAAUUUAGUUAGCAAGGAGAUGCUAGCAACAAAAGAAGAGCUUGAGAAAUUCAAUAAUCACGCUUCUCAAGUUGCAGCCCUUGAUUACAUAAUUUCAGUUGAAAGUGAUGUGUUUGUUCCAUCACACUCUGGCAAUAUGGCGAAAGCUGUAGAAGGCCACCGUCGAUUUUUGGGGCAUCGCAAGACUAUCACUCCUGAUAGGUACAUAUGUGCACAUGUGGAUGAAGACAUGAAGUUAUAGAUCUUUUGGUUGUAUUGUAUCCUUUUACUUUGCAUUCUUUUCUUGAUAUUCGGGUGUUAUCAAUCUUCACCACGUAUCAAGUGCUUGCUUAGUUCCUUUUUCAACAUUACUCUAUUUAAUCUGCAGGAGAGGAUUGGUGGAACUCUUUGAUUUACUGGAAAAAGGGGACCUCAUGGAAGGUCCACAGCUGUCCUCUCUUGUUACUGACUUGCAUAAAUACAGACAAGGGGCUCCUAGGAAAAGAUAUGGCUCCUUGCCAGGAAGCAAGGGCAGAGCACGGCUUAGGACUGAGGAAUCUUUUUAUGAAAACCCACUUCCUGAGUGCAUUUGUCUGACUGGGAAGCACUGAUGUGUUGCCGAUGUAUAGCUUUGUAUAGUGACACCCCUCACUCGCAUUGGAAGUGCACUAGUGCUUCUCACUGGGCAUUGGAGCUUUACUGACGCUUUGAGACUAGAAGGGUACUCUAUGACGCAAUUCACUAAAGGAUGCCUACCUUCCAGUGAGCGACAUCCAAUGACCUUGUUGGCCUAGAUAGACUGGCCCCUGCAACCAAGCAACUCUUCAUGAGUGGGUUCGUUGCCACUGUUGAGAAAUUUGAAGAGCAGGUUGUAGCCAUGAAAGUUUCGAACAACAUACGUGAUAUAUGCAUUUGCAAGGAUCUGUAGCCCUCAGGCAAUAUCUGAAUUUUUUUUGUUCUUACAAGCAUUUAGCCAGAGCAAGCUUAACAUACUGUUGAACUGCUUCAGCUUUCUAAUUUUAAGCGACCAUCAAAGCUGAUGUUCACUUA